This 468-nucleotide ribosomal RNA is filed under the name uncultured bacterium. RNAcentral's name for it is "partial 16S ribosomal RNA". It matches the Rfam family "Bacterial small subunit ribosomal RNA", at positions 28 to 507 of the family's 1533-position model. The record is from RNAcentral.
GACGAACGCUGGCGGCGUGCUUAACACAUGCCAGUCGAACGGAAAGGCCCUGCUUUUGUGGGGUGCUCGAGUGGCGAACGGGUGAGUAACACGUGAGUAACCUGCCCUUGACUUUGGGAUAACUUCAGGAAACUGGGGCUAAUACCGGAUAGGAGCUCCUGCUGCAUGGUGGGGGUUGGAAAGUUUCGGCGGUUGGGGAUGGACUCGCGGCUUAUCAGCUUGUUGGUGGGGUAGUGGCUUACCAAGGCUUUGACGGGUAGCCGGCCUGAGAGGGUGACCGGCCACAUUAGGACUGAGAUACGGCCCAGACUCCUACGGGAGGCAGCGGUGGAGAGUAUUACACAGUGGGCGGAAGCCUGAUGCAGCAACGCCGCGUGCGGGAUGACGGCCUUCGGGUUGUAAACCGCUUUCGCCUGUGACGAGGCGUGAGUGACGGUAAUGGGUAAAGAAGCACCGGCUAACUACGUG